Gallus gallus (chicken) is the source of this 539-nucleotide long non-coding RNA. NCBI's taxonomy places the organism in Eukaryota, Metazoa, Chordata, Aves, Galliformes, Phasianidae. The record is from Ensembl.
AUGAGGCCCAUGCUGGGCUCAAUGCACUGGAUCAUGGCAUUCCUGUCCAGCUUCAGUUGACGCUGGCAGCGCAGGAAGAGGCUCUCUAUCAAUCUGACCUGCCCCUAGCGGAUCCCAUGGAUGGCAGCCAGCCUGCACUUCCAGUGGUAAUGGGCUGAUACACCAUUGCUGCAAACGCUGCAGGUCUGAAGUUUAUCUGGUUGGUUAACAGUGCGGGAUGAGAAUUUGUGGCAGUUUCUCACUGAGUUUCUCCAAGCACAGAGGAUUUGAACUGUAAUAAAUGCUGGAAGACAUCGGAUAGCUGCCAGGAACAGCCACCCUCGGUGACACCUUUGACACCUCCUCACAUCCCUGGGCAGCUCGAAUUCCUCCACUGGACUCCUCCUGUUGCCCCGGCACAGCGGCUCAGAGGAUGCCAGUCCCUGCCCUUCCUUCUUCCUCAUGGUGAAGAAGAGAUGAGAGGACUUGGGGAAGGACGGGAGGUGGGGACAGGAAGGAUGGGUCCACAGGAACCCUGGCUGUCAAAAGAAGAAAUCCCA